UCCCUGAUAGCUCAGUUGGUAAAGAAUCCGCCUGCAAUGCAGGGGACCCAGGUUCAAUUCCUGGGUUGGGAA
RNAcentral lists this transfer RNA (72 nucleotides) under Bos taurus (domestic cattle). It matches the Rfam family "tRNA". From Rfam's summary of the family: Transfer RNA (tRNA) molecules are approximately 80 nucleotides in length. Lineage: Eukaryota; Metazoa; Chordata; Mammalia; Artiodactyla; Bovidae. RNAcentral also lists the same sequence under 4 other names. The record is from Rfam by way of RNAcentral.